GAUGAACGCUGGCGGCGUGCUUAACACAUGCAAGUCGAACGGAAAGGCCCAAGCUUGCUUGGGUACUCGAGUGGCGAACGGGUGAGUAACACGUGAGUGAUCUGCCCCGCACUUCGGGAUAAGCCUGGGAAACUGGUUCUAAUACCGGAUAGGUCAGUGGGUUGGAUGCGAUUGUUGAGAGCUUUUUCGGUGUGGGGUGAGCUCGCGGCCUAUCAGCGUGUUGGGGGGGUAAUGGCCUACAAAGGCGUCGACGUGUAGGCUGCCUGAGAGAGUGUACCGCCACACUGGGACCGAGGUACGGCCCAGACUCCUACGGGAGGCAGCAGUGGGGAAUAUUGCACAAUGGGUGCCAGCCUGAUGCAGCGAGGCUGCGUGGUGGAUGACGGCCUUCGGGUUGUAAACUCCUAUCGCGAGGGACGAAGCGUUAUGUGACGGUACCUAGAGAAGAAGCACCGGCUAACUACGUG
Molecule: ribosomal RNA, 467 nt
Filed under: uncultured bacterium
Lineage: Bacteria
Description: partial 16S ribosomal RNA
Rfam family: Bacterial small subunit ribosomal RNA
Source: RNAcentral